RNAcentral lists this unclassified non-coding RNA (410 nucleotides) under Hevea brasiliensis (rubber tree). The record is from RNAcentral. Lineage: Eukaryota; Viridiplantae; Streptophyta; Magnoliopsida; Malpighiales; Euphorbiaceae.
CAAUGGCGAAGCUUCCUACCAUCCUGCUGCUCUUGUUCCUUGUCAUGGCCUCUGAGAUGGGGACGACGACCGUGGAGGCGAGGACAUGCCUGUCGCAGAGCCACAGGUUCAAGGGGACCUGUUUGAGGGAGGCCAACUGCGCUAGCGUCUGCCAGACUGAGGGAUUCAAAGGAGGGGUUUGCGAGGGCCUCCGCCGCCGUUGCUUCUGCGAAACCGACUGUCACUGAUGCCUGAGUUCUUGGCUUUAAUAAGUAAUGUCGGACUAUCUGAGAAGAAUAAGAUGGACCUGGUGGUGUUGGUUUUACAGUCUUCUUCGGUGUGAGGACUGGAUACUUUCAUCUAGGUUUCUGAUAUGUAGUUGUUUGUGUCUGGGUUGAGUUGAAGGGCUGUGUUCUGUAGUUGGAUUUGUG